CCUACGGGCGGCAGCAGUCGAGAAUCAUUCACAAUGGGGGAAACCCUGAUGCUGCGACGCCGCGUGGGGGAAUGAAGGUCUUCGGAUUGUAAACCCCUGUCAUGUGGGAGCAAAUCAAAAAGAUAGUACCACAAGAGGAAGAGACGGCUAACUCUGUGCCAGCAGCCGCGGUAAUACAGAGGUCUCAAGAGUUGUUCGGAAUCACUUGGCGUAAAGCGUGCGUAGGCUGUGUCGUAAGUCGUGUGUGAAAAGCGCGGGGUCAACCCGCGGACGGAACAUGAUACAGUGAGACUAGAGUAAUGGAGGGGGAGCCGGAAUGCUCGGUGUAGCGGUGAAAUGCUUAGAUAU
RNAcentral lists this ribosomal RNA (348 nucleotides) under uncultured bacterium. Its description in RNAcentral is "partial 16S ribosomal RNA". It matches the Rfam family "Bacterial small subunit ribosomal RNA", at positions 338 to 697 of the family's 1533-position model. The record is from RNAcentral.